GCGGAACCCAGGGGCGGUCCUGCAGCUGGGCAGGCCUGGGGCUUGGUUCUAUGUCCAUGCGAGUCGGUGCGAGGGCGAAGAGGAACCUGUGGGCCUCGGGGGAUCCCGAGGAGCCGGAACAGUGUUCCCCAGUUGUUGGAGCAGACGCGUGAGCGCAUCGCGGGCGGGCAGGGCCUGACGUGCAGGUGCGGGCCGCGGACCCUGGCAGGGGCUGGGAGGACAGGCGUGGGGUCCUGGCAGUGAAGCGGGUUCCAGAGGCGUAGGAGCGCGUAGGCGAGGCCGGUGGCCCUGGGCCCGGAGUCUGCAGGCCGCGCUCCUGUCCUGCCGCUGAGGGGCCCGGUUAUCAAGCCGCAUGUCGCUCAGUUUGCCCAUCUGUCCCGGUGCUAACACACAGUUCUCGGGAGACGUUCCCCAUUCCCAGAGGAGUAGUGCGAAACGCGUGCGCCUCGAGUCCUAAACUGGGCGUUUGUAUUAGUUGGGUUUCCCUGUGUCUCUUUAGCAAGUGAAGUUUCUGGUUCCGUCCUUCACUGUGUGACCUGCCUAGUCCUCCCGGGUUGCGUUUACAGAAGUUUGUACCAGACCUAGUUUCCAGGGAAGAACUCACUGAUUCCGCGAGGGAGGUGGGGUACUGGAUGAUGGUCUUCAGCCUUAAGGGUACUUCAGUCUUAACCGUGUGUUAUAAAGUUUGAAGGGGAGGGUUCCCUAUGAAUAAGAAGCGCACUUGAAAGAACAGCCCUCUGGUCUAACCUCUCACUGGUGCUUCAGAGGAGGAAAAAAGGUCACAGCUAUGUUUCCAGUGUCCUCUGGGUGUUUCCAAGAGCUACAAGAAACAAAUAAAUCUCUGG
RNAcentral lists this long non-coding RNA (845 nucleotides) under Pongo abelii (Sumatran orangutan). RNAcentral describes it as "lincRNA". The record is from RNAcentral. Lineage: Eukaryota; Metazoa; Chordata; Mammalia; Primates; Hominidae.